GCAUACGCUCUGAGGAGGAAAGCGGGGGACCUGGUAACGGGCCUCGCGCUGCGGGAGUGGCCGAUGUCGGAUUAGCUAGUUGGUGAGGUAAAGGCUCACCAAGGCGACGAUCCGUAGCUGGUCUGAGAGGAUGAUCAGCCACACUGGGACUGAGACACGGCCCAGACUCCUACGGGAGGCAGCAGUGGGGAAUUUUGGACAAUGGGGGCAACCCUGAUCCAGCCAUGCCGCGUGAGUGAAGAAGGCCUUCGGGUUGUAAAGCUCUUUCGGACGGAACGAUAUGGUUACGGUGAAUAACCGUGACUGAUGACGGUACUGUAAGAAGAAGCACCGGCUAACUACGUGCCAGCAGCCGCGGUAAUACGUAGGGUGCGAGCGUUAAUCGGAAUUACUGGGCGUAAAGCGUGCGCAGGCGGUUCGCCAAGUCAGGUGUGAAAUCCCCGGGCUUAACCUGGGAAUUGCGCUUGAAACUAGCGGGCUUGAGUGCGGCAGAGGGGGGUGGAAUUCCACGUGUAGCAGUGAAAUGCGUAGAGAUGUGGAGGAACACCGAUGGCGAAGGCAGCCCCCUGGGUCGACACUG
RNAcentral lists this ribosomal RNA (580 nucleotides) under uncultured beta proteobacterium. RNAcentral describes it as "bacterial SSU rRNA". It matches the Rfam family "Bacterial small subunit ribosomal RNA", at positions 171 to 742 of the family's 1533-position model. Lineage: Bacteria; Pseudomonadati; Pseudomonadota; Betaproteobacteria. The record is from RNAcentral.